AAGGGAGACCUAAUUCAGGUAUGGGACGAAAAAAAAGUAGUCGCUACCAAGAAUCAAUCCCAAAAGGUCGGAGCGAGGUAUGAGGCUUUCAAACUAGGUUCUGGGUUCAAACAAGACCUGAAUCAGGAACAAGGGCUAUUAGCUCCGGUGGUUAGAGCGCACCCCUGAUAAGGGUGAGGUCCCUGGUUCGAGUCCAGGAUGGCCCACCUGCACAGGUGGCAAAAACAAGAGAAGCGAGGAAUCAGCACCUUAUCUUAUCUAUAUAUAAGAGAGAAUGCUGGCUCUGAGUAAAGAGUCCAGAGGAACCUUGAAAACUGCAUAGAGCUAGGUGAAAAAGCCAAAAAAGAAGACCGCAA
Molecule: transfer RNA, 356 nt
Filed under: uncultured Microcystis sp.
Lineage: Bacteria; Bacillati; Cyanobacteriota; Cyanophyceae; Chroococcales; Microcystaceae
Description: partial 16S-23S ribosomal RNA intergenic spacer
Rfam family: tRNA (bases 133-206)
Source: RNAcentral